RNAcentral lists this ribosomal RNA (440 nucleotides) under uncultured bacterium. RNAcentral describes it as "partial 16S ribosomal RNA". It matches the Rfam family "Bacterial small subunit ribosomal RNA", at positions 339 to 795 of the family's 1533-position model. The record is from RNAcentral.
CUACGGGGGGCUGCAGUCGAGAAUCUUCCGCAAUGGGCGAAAGCCUGACGGAGCAAUGCCGCGUGUAGGAUGAAGGCCUUUGGGUUGUAAACUACUGUCACCGGGGAUGAAUAUUGACAGUACCCGGAGAGGAAGCCACGGCUAACUACGUGCCAGCAGCCGCGGUAAUACGUAGGUGGCGAGCGUUGUUCGGAUUUAUUGGGCGUAAAGGGUUCGUAGGGGGUUAUUUAAGUCUGAUGUGAAAUCCCGCGGCUUAACCGCGGAACUGCAUUGGAAACUGAGUAACUAGAGGAUCGGAGAGGAGAGUGGAAUUCCGGGAGUAGCGGUGGAAUGCGUAGAUAUCCGGAAGAACACCGACAGCGAAGGCAGCUCUCUGGACGAUUCCUGACCCUGAGGGACGAAAGCGUGGGUAGCAAACAGGAUUAGAUACCCCUGUAGUC